Molecule: ribosomal RNA, 420 nt
Filed under: uncultured Planctomycetaceae bacterium
Lineage: Bacteria; Pseudomonadati; Planctomycetota; Planctomycetia; Planctomycetales; Planctomycetaceae
Description: bacterial SSU rRNA
Rfam family: Bacterial small subunit ribosomal RNA
Source: RNAcentral
AGUCGAGAAUCUUCGGCAAUGGGCGAAAGCCUGACCGAGCGACGCCGCGUGCGGGAUGAAGGCCCUCGGGUUGUAAACCGCUGUCGUAGAGGAGGAAGGCUUCGUGAAGAACGAGGUUUGACCUAUUCUAGGAGGAAGUACGGGCUAAGUUCGUGCCAGCAGCCGCGGUAAUACGAACCGUACAAACGUUAUUCGGAAUCACUGGGCUUAAAGGGUGCGUAGGCGGCCAUGUAAGUGAGAUGUGAAAUCCCUCGGCUCAACCGAGGAACUGCGCUUCAUACUGCAUGGCUUGAGGGAGACAGGGGUAAGCGGAACUGAUGGUGGAGCGGUGAAAUGCGUUGAUAUCAUCAGGAACACCGGUGGCGAAAGCGGCUUACUGGGUCUCUUCUGACGCUGAGGUACGAAAGCUAGGGGAGCGAA